This 72-nucleotide transfer RNA is filed under the name Coniochaeta sp. 2T2.1. It matches the Rfam family "tRNA". Rfam says of the family: Transfer RNA (tRNA) molecules are approximately 80 nucleotides in length. Their secondary structure includes four short double-helical elements and three loops (D, anti-codon, and T loops). The record is from Rfam by way of RNAcentral. Lineage: Eukaryota; Fungi; Ascomycota; Sordariomycetes; Coniochaetales; Coniochaetaceae.
GGAUCGAUAGCUCAGCGGUAGAGCGUGGGAUUGCAGAUCCUAAGGUCGCGUGUUCAAUCCACGCUCGGUCCU